This 250-nucleotide ribosomal RNA is filed under the name uncultured bacterium. Its description in RNAcentral is "partial 16S ribosomal RNA". It matches the Rfam family "Bacterial small subunit ribosomal RNA", at positions 524 to 773 of the family's 1533-position model. The record is from RNAcentral.
UACGAAGGGGGCUAGCGUUGUUCGGAAUUACUGGGCGUAAAGCGCACGUAGGCGGACAUUUAAGUCAGAGGUGAAAUCCCAGGGCUCAACCCUGGAACUGCCUUUGAUACUGGGUGUCUUGAGUACGAGAGAGGUGAGUGGAAUUCCGAGUGUAGAGGUGAAAUUCGUAGAUAUUCGGAAGAACACCAGUGGCGAAGGCGGCUCACUGGCUCGUAACUGACGCUGAGGUGCGAAAGCGUGGGGAGCAAAC